Molecule: ribosomal RNA, 466 nt
Filed under: uncultured bacterium
Lineage: Bacteria
Description: partial 16S ribosomal RNA
Rfam family: Bacterial small subunit ribosomal RNA
Source: RNAcentral
GACGAACGCUGGCGGCGCGCCUAACACAUGCAAGUCGAACGAGCGAGAGAGAGCUUGCUUUCUCGAGCGAGUGGCGAACGGGUGAGUAACGCGUGAGGAACCUGCCUCAAAGAGGGGGACAACAGUUGGAAACGACUGCUAAUACCGCAUAAGCCCACGAAAUGGGAUGGGGUAGAGGGAAAAGGAGCAAUCCGCGUUGAGAUGGCUGCGCGUCCGAUUAGGUAGUUGGUGAGGUAACGGCCCACCAAGGCGACGAUCGGUAGCCGGACUGAGAGGUUGAACGGCCACAUUGGGACUGAGACACGGCCCAGACUCCUACACACACACUCAAUAUAUAAUAUUUUAACAUUAAGGAAAACCUGAUGCAACGACGCCGCGUGGAGGAAGAAGGUCUUCGGAUUAUAAACUCCUUUUUUUUAAGACUAUAAUAACCUUCCUCCACAAGCAAGUGACGGCUAACUACAUG